Molecule: long non-coding RNA, 279 nt
Filed under: Carica papaya (papaya)
Lineage: Eukaryota; Viridiplantae; Streptophyta; Magnoliopsida; Brassicales; Caricaceae
Description: long non-coding RNA (CPAP_LNC000508)
Source: RNAcentral
CUUUUAACUUUUAUGUUUUAAUAUAGUAUGCUAAGUAUUUCUGUGGCAAAAUGAUAUCAAACACAACAGAGACACUAAAUAUCAAAUCAAUAAGUUCAACCAUGCACAAUAUCACUCUACGUAAGGUUUCAUGCAUCUUAAUCAUGUAAUAAACCCUCAUGCGUCAUGCCUCAAGUUCCGAACCCGAUGGGAUCCAACUUUCUUGUCUAAAAUUCAUUAUCUUCGAUCUUGUUUCCUUUUUUUGUUGUCUCUCUAUCAAAACAAAGUAUAAAAUCACCA